RNAcentral lists this ribosomal RNA (263 nucleotides) under uncultured bacterium. RNAcentral's name for it is "partial 16S ribosomal RNA". It matches the Rfam family "Bacterial small subunit ribosomal RNA", at positions 91 to 354 of the family's 1533-position model. The record is from RNAcentral.
CUUAGUGGCGGACGGGUGAGUAACGCGUGGGGAACCUGCCCUGUACAGGGGGAUAACACUUAGAAAUAGGUGCUAAUACCGCAUAAGCGCACAGUAUCGCAUGAUACAGUGUGAAAAACUCCGGUGGUACAGGAUGGACCCGCGUCUGAUUAGCUGGUUGGCGGGGUAACGGCCCACCAAGGCAACGAUCAGUAGCCGGCCUGAGAGGGUGAACGGCCACAUUGGGACUGAGACACGGCCCAAACUCCUACGGAAGGCAGCAG